RNAcentral lists this ribosomal RNA (474 nucleotides) under uncultured bacterium. RNAcentral's name for it is "bacterial SSU rRNA". It matches the Rfam family "Bacterial small subunit ribosomal RNA", at positions 34 to 507 of the family's 1533-position model. The record is from RNAcentral.
CGCUGGCGGCGUGCUUAAUACAUGCAAGUCAACUUGACUUUAGAUAAGCAAUAUCGAAAGUAGGGUGGCGCACGGGUGCGUAACGCGUAGGUAAUCUGCCCUGAGGUCUGACAUAACCCGUCGAAAGGCGGGCUAACAUCAGAUGAUAUAUAAUCACGACAUCGUGGAAAUAUCAAAUCUUCGGAGCCUUGGGAUGAGCCUGCGUCUGAUUAGGUAGUUGGCGGAGUAAUAGCCCACCAAGCCUACGAUCAGUAGCUGGUCUGAGAGGAUGAUCAGCCACACUGGAACUGAGACACGGUCCAGACUCCUACGGGAGGCAGCAGUAAGGAAUAUUGCUCAAUGGGGGAAACCCUGAAGCAGCAACGCCGCGUGAAGGAUGAAAUACUUUUGUAUGUAAACUUCUGUAAGAUGGGAAAAAUAUUCUCCUCGGGAGAAUUGAUUGUACCAUCAGAGUAAGCCCCGGCUAACUACGUG